Molecule: long non-coding RNA, 5897 nt
Organism: Lotus japonicus
Lineage: Eukaryota; Viridiplantae; Streptophyta; Magnoliopsida; Fabales; Fabaceae
Exons: 7
Source: RefSeq, a predicted model, not a curated record
CUCUGAGCUGUCAAUUAACCUAUGUGUCUGUAUCUUUCUUAUCUACUAACUUAAAAUGCUCAUCUAUUAUUGAUCCUCACCCAGCGUUAUCCCUGAACGAUGGUACUUUCAACCUACAUCUACCCUUCUAAACAGCUGUGGAGUAUGCUUUACAGAGCAUUUUCAAUUCUCCAUUCGUUUCUAUAAAUUUAACAAUCCUGGAAUCAGUUUAACAUCUUCACCUUCUGCUUCAGACCUUUUAAAGCUAGAGACAUAUGAACAACCAAAAUCAUCUUCAGUUUCAGCAGGUCAGGUAUUGGACCAUGAAGCCAAAUUAGCUAAGCUGGAAUCUGAGUUUGGAAAGGUCAGUCAUGAUUACUCAACAGAGGAAAUUGGUGAUUGGGAAUUUGAUGAGCUUCAAAGAUAAUUGGAUUCUGGAAAUUCAGCAACAAGUAAUUAGUUGACACAUUGCAAUGCUUGCUAUUGUAUUUAUUAUGAAGCAAUUGCAAAUAUUAUUUAAAUUUGUAAGCUAUAGUUGGGCUGUUAAUGAAGCUGUAAUUUGGAUCAAAAAAAUAAAUUUAACAUGUUUGAUGCAGAUGCAGUUAUCAUGCGUUUUUGCUAUUAGUGCAUGAUGUGGUUGUGGACUUUUCACUGCCACUGAACCGAGAUGUAUGCAAUCUGCAAAAUUAAUGCUUUAAUUCUUACAAAAUUACCUUAAUUCCUGAUUAUUAGGUGGUGAAAUUCAUUCUUUUUGUGGAUUUUGGUUGAGAAUAUACAGAACAUUGUUAGAAUGAGAGCAUCAGAUGAACAGAAUGAGAACUUAUACUUUAGUCAAUUACAAUUGACUAUUUUAUCAUUUGAUUUUAUUUCUCUCUGCAGAACAAGAGUGCUUCCUUUAUUUUUGUGAUGUUUUCUUGGCUUUUUUAUGAGCUGAUAUGUGUUGCAAUGUUUUUCUUUCUUCACUUUUCUUUUCUUGAUGAAAGUGGAUCUGAUUUGUAAUCUUUCAGGUUAUAUAAUUGAAGGCUGUUUUUAGUAAAAUUAGUAAUUAAUAAUUAGAGUAGAUAUAAGUAUAACAUCAUUUAUAUUAGUUCAUGAAUAAUGUGAUCCAUGUUAAAGGUUGUGUUUAGUCCAUCAAAUCAGUUCCUGUAUUUGAAUUUUACCAGUCUAAUUAAUGCUAAAUUACUUGACACUAAGACCAACAUAAUAUAAAAUCUAGAGGUUUAGGAUUAAUUUUAAUUGUUCAGGAAAUUACAAUUGACGCUAUAGUUUUGCAGUGAUUGAUUUGAUGUUUAACUGCUUCUAAUCUUUAAUUAAAUGUCUUUUGCAUCUAAUGUUGAAAUGUUAACUCAUAUGAAGAUUUGAAUGUGUCACCAUUGGAGUUGGGUUUCCAACUCCAUGCAAACCCUUCAUCUACUGGGCUUUCCUUUCUCUCAUUGUUUUUGCCAAUCUUAGCACUAGCAUUCAAUUUUAUCUUCCAGGAACUUAAAUGCACACAUAUUCCGAUGGUUGCUUCUCAUUGAACUAAAAGCAUUUUGAGAAGACCACUUUCUGUGAAUGCUUCUUACAGUGGAUGCUUCAAGUCCUGGUGCCAUAAGUUACAUGGAUUGCAUAGGAAAGGACAAAUAUGGUGAAGAGACGAAGAAAAACUUUAAACUUGCUGGUGAAAAUGAAAUGAAUAGAUGUCAUUUAUUAAAUGAGUAUCAAAAAAUCUCAAGAAAUUGGUCAUCAGUGGUCAUAAUUCACUACAACUUGAACAAAUUUGGUAAAUCCGUCCUUAUUCAAAUAGUACCGGAAACACAUAGUUCAGUACUUAACAGCUGAUAUGACAAAUAACAACAAUAGAUAUUAGAUAAUUCAUCUUAAUUUCGGUGCUUUUGUAAUACUUCUGAAUUCAAACAUAAUUCUUUGGGUUGGAUACAUGUAAGUGCUCCAUUAUCUUUGGCCACAUGUAAUGUAAUUUUUAUGUUCUUGAGUAACUUAUUAUUAUAUCCUGUGUGGUGUCAGCAUCAAACUAACUAUGUAGUAGUGAUUUUUCUUCUCAUAUACCUCCUAAAGUCAAUACAUUUCUACUUUCGAAAAAAAAAAAUACCUCAUAACGUCAAGGCUUCUGAGAUUCUAAUAAAAGUAGUGGCCUAUGGACUUAGCUACCUUAUGUUGUUGUCAUGUUUAUACAGUACUAAGGUGAACUUAGCUAACUUACUCGGUUGAGUUAGAACACAGACCUUUAGCUUCAAAUGCUUAUCAUUGUAAUGGUGCUAAUAGUCUGUUUGGUUUCAUAAUUAGAUAACUUUCUUUCUUAAUAAAAAAAAUAGAAGUAAAAAACUUUUAUUUCGAAUGGUCUUCCUCUCUAGCUCUGUUAUGAUUAAGACAUAUCAUCUUGUGUUGACUGCUAAUGCUUAAUAUUCCAAGUAUUUUCUAACCUUCUAUGAAGCUAAUAAGCUGACCAUAGGUUUGUAUUUUUGACAGGUUUUUUUUUUUUUGUUUAAAGUGACUUAAUAUUUAUUCUCUACUCACUCUGAAAAGUGAGGUGCUCCGCACUACCCUCUCCCUCUCAGGGUAUCAACGUCAUUCGUCAAUAUAUACUAUCUUUAUUAUCCUUCAACAGUGAACAUAAUUCAUGUUCAAUCUUAAUGAAGAAGUAUAGUGUCCAUCCAAUACCGGGUCUAAGGAUGUUGGGCUCUUACAAGACGUUUGAUCUUCAUUUAUUCUUAUAAUAUAAGAAUUAUAUAGAAAAAUAUCAACUAAUUAUCUCUUAUCAUUAAAAUUUUAACAAUGCCCAUAAAUUAUUAAUUUAAUCAUAAAGUUUUGUAUUACUAUUAAGUAAUUUUAAAAUACAAUUUACAAUACGUAGUUUUAAAGAGUGGUAAAUAACUACAUGGUUGGCAAAUACUUUCAUUUAAUUUUUUUUUUGUCAAGCAAUUUAUCUAGAUUUUUUUUUUGAGUUUCGUGUUAAUUAUUUUAUUUAAAAUUCUACAUAAAUGAUUUUUACUCUUAAAAAUUUCGCCAAAAUAUUAGUUAUGGCCUCAUGAUAUAAAAUUUAUAAUGAUAACUAAAUCCAUGUGAUAGUAAAUUCAAAUUGUGUAACCAAAAAAAUUCAAAUUUUGUAAUAUAAUUAUAAUUGUAAAAGUUUUUUUUAUUCUACUAUAUAUUGAUCUAAACUUGAAAUUCAUGAGUUGGGGUGGGGAAGUUCAUGGUUCAAUCACUAGAGGAGGUAAUUUAUCUUUCUGAUCUACCCAAAAGAACUUCAAAUUGAAAAAUGACACAAGUAUUUCAUAUGGUGUUUUUUAUUUGUAUUGGUAUCAAAUCUUUAUCGUCAAAUGACAUAUCUAAUGGAUAAAUAAUAUUAUUUAUAUUUCGGUGCAUUACCAAAAAAUCUUAUCGAUGUAAACUUUUUAUCAUCGGUGUAAGUGGAGUCUUGAGGCAUAAACUAAAAAUAAUAACAUUAUUAUAAAAUAAUUAUAAUAACACUUUAAAAAUCUUACAAUCGUUUAUAUAUAUAUAUCUGUAAUAUUUAGAUAUUAAAAUUUAAAAUUAUAGUAGUAAAGAUAACAAUUAAAAUGAGUAAAACAUGUAACUUAUUUAAUUCAUUUUAAUAAAUUAUAAAAUAUUUCUCCGUGCAUCGCGCGGGUAUAAUCCUAGUUCUAACACAAACAAUGUUAAUGUACGUGCAUGCUAUAGUUAGGAAACCAAUACAAAGUCACAAAGAUAAAGAAGAUAAGAAUAAUAGAGAGGGAGCUGGAAAAGCAGACACAGCUACAAGAGACAAUUACCAAACCUACACCCCCACAAAAGACACCCAAAAUCAGCCCAAUCACAUGCACCAAAGAGUAUCGAGAUAGCAUGCAGGACCUGCAUCUGGGUAAGGCCAGAUUACGAAGGCAUACCACACCACAAAGCUCUUUCCUUCUCAUGAGACAACAGAGCAUACCAGAAGAAACAUCCAAAUACAAGUUAGUUAAAGUCAGAGACAAAAUAACUUGUGAGUAAAGGAAAUCGAAUUCAGCUGAGAAUCACAUUCUUCAACAUUGAGUCACUCUAAAUCCACCAGCUAGCUAGAUCAAAGUAGUAAGUAUGAGCUAGGAACCAACCCACAAGCAAAGUUGCUAUUCAUUUUUUUACUAAAUGUGGCACUACAAAAAAACGUGCUUUUAGUGGCACAAUAUUUGUGGCAUUUACCAAAAAAUGCCACAAACUUAUAUUACUUUGGCACACUAAUUUAAAAACGCAUUCCUAGCUAAUUAGCAGCAAUUUGGUAGUAAUUUACUAAAGCUUAUAUUACUCUGGCAUUUAAGUAGAAUGCCACUAAUUUAAAAACGCAUUCCUAGCUAAUUAGCAGCUAUUUGGUAGCAAUUUUCUGAAGUGGCACUUAACUCAAAUGCCACAAAUAACCCUUUUCAAUUUUAAUAUUAAUUUUUUUUUAACUUUCACUCACACAGUUUUUCAGAUUUUUAAACCAAAAAGAAAAAAGAAAUAUCUCUUUCAGCUUUUCUUCCGAUUCAUCGUCGUCCUCAGUCAUGAUCACCACAUCGCACCAGAGCGACCACAAAACAAAAAUUCCAAUCCUAUCCCCAUGUUUCAAUCGCAUUCAUCAUCCCCAAUCCACUGAACCCUAUUCAAAGCAGCCAUUGACGAUCGCUCCGAGUUCGCUCACCAACAUCACCAUCCUCAUCUCUCAAUUCUGAUGCUGUCGAUGUUGCUGUGAACAAUCAGAAGAAGAAGAAGAAACAACAACGCUGCAAGUGCUCAGAAACUCGAUGUCGAUAACCGAAUCGCUCUCUGUUUCUACUUCCGGAUCGCCGAUAACAUCCUCCGUCAAGCUCUAUCACCACAUCGCAUCAGAGCGACCAUCGCUCCAUCUCCAUCGCAGCCACACUCCACCGCAAGCAGCUGUGCUUCCAGAUCCAGCAAAUUCUCCUGGUUCACGAUACUCACCGGAGAAGAAACCCUAGAUCCGCGAUGCUACAUGUCCGACACCUCCAGAAUUCCACUCCGGCUAUCACCAGGUGGCGCAACAAGCUCGAGAGGUCGCGUUUCUUGCCUUUCUUCUUCUGAUUCGAUCUUGUUUCUUACCCGCAGGUACACUGAAUUGGAAAUUGCGGUGUCGGAGAUAGGAAUUGUAGGGCUGAACGCGGAGAAUUUAGGGAUUGGAGGUGUUUGGGUUGACAGUGAUCCCAUACUACCGGCAUCAACCUCAGUAGUUGGAGGAUGGAUAAAGCAGGUUGAUAAGGGAUAUUGAAAGUGACUCAGUCUUGAGGCUCAAUCACUACCCACCUAAUACCUAUACAUAACAGCAACAAUAGGGAAGACAAGUCACCCCCCUACAACAACAAGGUUGGGUUUGGGGAGCAUUCUGACCCUCAAAUCUUGACCAUUCUCAGAUCCAAUGACGUGUGUGGCCUCCAAAUCUCUCUUCAAGAAGGGGUGUGGAUCCCAGUCAAGCCUGACCCUGAGGCUUUCUGUGUUAACGUAGGUGAUGUACUAGAGGACAAUGCCAAUGCUAAUGAUGAACCGGUUGAAACUGCUGAUCAUGCAAAGGGAUUUCACUAAUGUUAGUGAGGGUCAAUUGAUGACAAUAUAGAUACAAUGAGGCAUAUAUGUAGUUUGUGGCAUUUAAAAAAAUGCCAGUUUCAAUUUGUGGCAUUUAGAAGAUGCCAGAAGCAUUUGUGGCAUACAAAAACCGGCAUUUAAGCAAAAAAUGCCACAAAACAGUUGUGGCACCUGUAAUAGAGGCACUUAAAGGUGAAUGCCACUAAUCACACUUGGGGCAUUUAAUAAAUGCCACAACUUAACAAUAUCAAUGCCACUAAAAAUACAUUUUUUUGUAGUGUGGGUAGAUAUUUCUCAUUCAAACAUUUUUCUUUCGGUUACUACUCCAUCUUUCUAGUAAUUUAUUACACAAUAAAAUUUUUUUGACUAAA